RNAcentral lists this ribosomal RNA (445 nucleotides) under uncultured bacterium. RNAcentral describes it as "bacterial SSU rRNA". It matches the Rfam family "Bacterial small subunit ribosomal RNA", at positions 354 to 796 of the family's 1533-position model. The record is from RNAcentral.
GUAAGGGAUAUUGGUCAAUGGGCGGAAGCCUGAACCAGCCAUGCCGCGUGCAGGACGAAAGCCUUAGGGUUGUAAACUGCUUUUAUUGGAGAAUAAACCUCUUUGCGAGACAGAGAGCUGAAGGUAUCCAAAGAAUAAGGAUCGGCUAACUCCGUGCCAGCAGCCGCGGUAAUACGGAGGAUCCAAGCGUUAUCCGGAUUUACUGGGUUUAAAGGGUGCGUAGGCGGCUAAUAAAGUCAGGGGUAAAAUACAUAAGCUUAACUUAUGGCCUGCCUUUGAAACUUAUUAGCUAGAGUAUGGUGAGUGUAGGCGGAAUGUGACAAGUAGCGGUGAAAUGCAUAGAUAUGUCACAGAACACCGAUCGCGAAGGCAGCUUACAGUACCAUAACUGACGCUGAGGCACGAAAGCGUGGGGAGCAAACAGGAUUAGAAACCCCGGUAGUCC